CACGUAGGGCGCAAGCGUUGUCCGGAAUUAUUGGGCGUAAAGAGCUCGUAGGCGGUCUGUUGCGUCCGCUGUGAAAACUCGGGGCUUAACCCCGAGCCUGCAGUGGAUACGGGCAGACUAGAGGUAGGUAGGGGAGAAUGGAAUUCCCGGUGUAGCGGUGAAAUGCGCAGAUAUCAGGAGGAACACCGAUGGCGAAGGCAGGUCUCUGGGCCACUACUGACGCUGAGGAGCGAAAGCGUGGGUAGCAAACAGG
This 253-nucleotide ribosomal RNA is filed under the name uncultured bacterium. Its description in RNAcentral is "partial 16S ribosomal RNA". It matches the Rfam family "Bacterial small subunit ribosomal RNA", at positions 524 to 776 of the family's 1533-position model. The record is from RNAcentral.